Molecule: non-coding RNA, 28 nt
Filed under: Rattus norvegicus (Norway rat)
Lineage: Eukaryota; Metazoa; Chordata; Mammalia; Rodentia; Muridae
Source: RNAcentral
UAGUGAGAUAGGGAGCAUGUGCAGAGAC